GAGUUCCCUCCCUUAGCUAAAAAUUUGGGUCAACUCUCCCUCCCAAAUUGCUCUCGGCCUCCCUCCGACUCACCAUUGCUCUCACCCUCGCUCCACCAUCGCUCUCACCCUCUCCACCUCGCUCCACCAUCACUCUCACCCUUAAUCCCCCUCACCCCCUCACCCUCUCCACCUCGCUCUCACUCGAUCUCAGCGGGUUUUUCUUACCCGAUCUCAGUCAACGAUUAAAGCAAGUUCGAUCUCAGCGGGUUUUUCUUACUCGAUCUCAGGAGCAACUGGAGUUCAAGAAAGCUGUCUAAGGCGGAAAUCAAGUUCUGUUCAUUGCUCCUAGCUGGGUUUGAUGCUUCUCGCGUCUUUAACUCUUUCCCUUCUCAAAUCUCAAAGCUUUCUUCCAGUUACGCCAGCCCUACAACUUCUUUGCCUUCCUCUUCAGUAAAGGAUCCUAAAUCUUGGUGAAAGAUCUGCGGUCGACGGUGUUUUAGGCAAAGGUAUGGCCAAGGUUGCUCAACCUGGUUCCCGCUGCUUUGAAGGUUGUUGGCAGAACGAUGAAGAUUUCUUGGCUGAGAAAGUUAGCAAAUGAUCAACUUUCCGAUCAUGACAUCAAGUUAUUUGCUGCUAUCUUCCAUGUUAUUUGAAUCGGCAGUUUUAUUGCACUUUGCUACUGCUGCCUAGUGGAGGCUUCUGGUGAUUCUUUUGAAAACUCAUGAUGUAGUUUUACUCCUGAUUUUGUGUGGCUUUUGACUUCUGCUCUCUGUUUUACUCAUGAUGAAUUACAUGAACAACUUCUAAUUAUGUGAAGUUUUGUUUUGUUUAAGUUUCUGUUGAUAUACGAAUUGCAAUUGAGCCUUGUUAUAUUGUUGUUGCAGUCUGGUACAUAAACUACCUAAGAGAACAAACUACAAUGUAUACCACUCCCACUGUUUGAUACUUUUAUAUGCUCACUUGACUGUAACAUGGUGAUCACUUAUUUUAC
This 973-nucleotide long non-coding RNA is filed under the name Rosa chinensis. RNAcentral describes it as "sRNA RchiOBHm_Chr2g0124061". Lineage: Eukaryota; Viridiplantae; Streptophyta; Magnoliopsida; Rosales; Rosaceae. The record is from RNAcentral.